Molecule: non-coding RNA, 886 nt
Organism: Pelodiscus sinensis (Chinese soft-shelled turtle)
Lineage: Eukaryota; Metazoa; Chordata; Testudines; Trionychidae
Source: RefSeq, a predicted model, not a curated record
CAAACUGGAAACAUCGAUAGGUACAACACGUACAAUCAGUGGACCGCUGAGACUCCUCAUAAGUACAACACGUACAAUCAGUGGACCACUGUGGCUCCGCAUAAAUUUUUACACAUGUAAAGGACUCCAGAGCCCAAAAAGUUUGAGAACCAGUACUAUAAUUGAUCCACCCUGAAUCGGAUGCACUGCCCUAUAUCAGGCAGGUACCUCUUCCUUUCAGGAAAACAGAUGAGCUUUUAUAGAAGUGUGGCAUUCUGUAGUUGUUCUGCACUUGCCAGAAGGAAACUGAAGUGAUCCUAUUUAAAAAUGAACUAGUGAGUAGAACCAGAGGAGUGUUGGCUACAGAAUAACCAGGCCUCCACCCGGCUCAGAAUUUAGUGAAGAAGCUGACCAAGUAUCUCACUCCCACAAGAGUGCCAGGAGAAGCAAAAGGUCUGGCUGGAGGGAAAUAAACACUGUUCCAGGGCUAGUAUGACUGUAUCUGCUAAGAAUGUUACUUGGAAGAAACAAGACAAAUGGGGACGUAUUGUAUGAGUCUUGAUACUUUUACUCCAGCAGCUACCGGCUGAUUUAUAAGCUACAGAAAAAAGAUUGAGACCUACUUUUAAAAAUGAGAAAGGGUUGCAACUGCCAACUUUGCUAUUCCCUCCACAUAGAAUAGUCCAGAAAAGAAAGAAACAAGGACUGUGAUAUACCUAAAAACUGGAUACAGCGUGAGCCAGUGUGACCCAGCGGAUACAGCACUAAUCUGUGGCUCAGGAAACCGCAGUUCUGUUCCCUGAUCUGCUAGUCACCUUGGACAAGUCACUUAGCAUCUCUGUGCUUUAAUUUUCCCAUCUGCAAAAUGUGGGUAAUGAUACUGACAUCCUUUGCAAAGGGCCUUGAC